Molecule: unclassified non-coding RNA, 305 nt
Filed under: plant metagenome
Description: partial contains 5.8S ribosomal RNA, internal transcribed spacer 2, and large subunit ribosomal RNA
Rfam family: 5.8S ribosomal RNA (bases 1-105)
Source: RNAcentral
GAAAUGCGAUAAGUAAUGUGAAUUGCAGAAUUCAGUGAAUCAUCGAAUCUUUGAACGCCCAUUGCGCCCGCCAGUAUUCUGGCGGGCAUGCCUGUUCGAGCGUCAUUUCAACCAUCAAGCCCCCGGCUUGUGUUGGGGACCUGCGGCUGCCCGCAGGCCCUGAAAAACAGUGGCGGGCUCGCUGUCACACCGAGCGUAGUAGCAUACAUUCUCGCUCAGGGCGUGCUGCGGGUUCCGGCCGUUAAACGACCUUCAUAACCCAAGGUUGACCUCGGAUCAGGUAGGAAGACCCGCUGAACUUAAGC